Molecule: ribosomal RNA, 460 nt
Filed under: uncultured bacterium
Lineage: Bacteria
Description: partial 16S ribosomal RNA
Rfam family: Bacterial small subunit ribosomal RNA
Source: RNAcentral
CCUACGGGGGGCAGCAGUGAGGAAUAUUGGUCAAUGGACGAGAGUCUGAACCAGCAAAGUAGCGUGAAGGAUGACUGCCCUAUGGGUUGUAAACUUCUUUUAUAAAGGAAUAAAACGAGGCACGUGUGCCUUUUUGCAUGUACUUUAUGAAUAAGGAUCGGCUAACUCCGUGCCAGCAGCAGCGGUAAUACGGAGGAUCCGAGCGUUAUCCGGAUUUAUUGGGUUUAAAGGGAGCGUAGAUGGGUUGUUAAGUCAGUUGUGAAAGUUUGCGGCUCAACCGUAAAAUUGCAAUUGAUACUGGCAGUCGUGAGUACAGUUGAGGUAGGCGGAAUUCGUGGUGUAGCGGUGAAAUGCUUAGAUAUCACGAAGAACACCGAUUGCGAAGGCAGCUUACUAAACUGUGACUGACAUUGAUGCUCGAAAGUGUGGGUAUCAAACAGGAUUAGAUACCCUUGUAGUC